GCGGGUGUAACUCAAUGGUAGAGUGUCAGCCUUCCAAGCUGAAUGUUGCGGGUUCGAGUCCCGUCGCCCGCU
Molecule: transfer RNA, 72 nt
Filed under: Phycisphaerae bacterium
Lineage: Bacteria; Pseudomonadati; Planctomycetota; Phycisphaerae
Description: tRNA-Gly
Rfam family: tRNA
About the family: Transfer RNA (tRNA) molecules are approximately 80 nucleotides in length. Their secondary structure includes four short double-helical elements and three loops (D, anti-codon, and T loops).
Source: RNAcentral